RNAcentral lists this Y RNA (96 nucleotides) under Prolemur simus (greater bamboo lemur). RNAcentral's name for it is "Y RNA (ENSPSMG00000009430.1)". It matches the Rfam family "Y RNA". Rfam says of the family: Y RNAs are components of the Ro ribonucleoprotein particle (Ro RNP), in association with Ro60 and La proteins. The Y RNAs and Ro60 and La proteins are well conserved, but the function of the Ro RNP is not known. Lineage: Eukaryota; Metazoa; Chordata; Mammalia; Primates; Lemuridae. The record is from Rfam by way of RNAcentral.
GGUUGGUGCAGUGGUGUUUACAAAUAAUUGAUGACAAUGAGUUACAGAUUCCUUUGUUCCUUCUCCACUCCCACUGCUUCACUUGACCAGCCUUUA